CCUACGGGUGGCAGCAGUGAGGAAUAUUGGUCAAUGGCCGGAAGGCUGAACCAGCCAAGUCGCGUGAGGGAAUAAGGCCCUAUGGGUCGUAAACCUCUUUUGUCAGGGAGCAAAGGCGUCCACGUGUGGACGAGAGGAGAGUACCUGAAGAAAAAGCAUCGGCUAACUCCGUGCCAGCAGCCGCGGUAAUACGGAGGAUGCGAGCGUUAUCCGGAUUUAUUGGGUUUAAAGGGUGCGUAGGCGGAAUGCCAAGUCAGCGGUAAAAUCGCGGGGCUCAACCUCGCUCCGCCGUUGAAACUGGCGUUCUUUAGUGGGCGAGAAGUAUGCGGAAUGCGUGGUGUAGCGGUGAAAUGCAUAGAUAUCACGCAGAACUCCGAUUGCGAAGGCAGCAUACCGGCGCCCAACUGACGCUGAAGCACGAAAGCGUGGGUAUCGAACAGGAUUAGAAACCCUGGUAGUC
This 460-nucleotide ribosomal RNA is filed under the name uncultured bacterium. Its description in RNAcentral is "partial 16S ribosomal RNA". It matches the Rfam family "Bacterial small subunit ribosomal RNA", at positions 338 to 795 of the family's 1533-position model. The record is from RNAcentral.